GAUCAGUGAGAUAGUUGACAUUCUUCAUUUCGUAUGAAAGCUUCAAACCCUGGUGUGUGUCUUACGCGAAUGGCUCACCUCAUUUUGUAAAAGCCACAUCACGAGUGCUCAACAGUCACAUAUAACUCGUGGCUGCCACACUGGAUAAUGCUGUGCCUCCACUUGCUGGAUUCAAUAGUUAAGGAAGGGCUGGAAAGUUCCAGAGCCAGAAACUGCAACUGAUUUUCCCUCUCAUACUGCUUUUCAGCCCCCAACCCAGUGAGAAACCUGACAGUGAAGGCCCAGACCACCAGCUCCAUCACCCUGAGCUGGGAGGCCCCCGAGGGCACAGACCCACAGAACUCCACCUACUGGGUUGAGUGCACCGGAGACGGUGGCAGAACGGAGACUCGAAGCACAACAGACACCAACGUCACCGUGGAUGGACUUGAACCCGGGUCUCUAUAUGCCUGUUCCGUGUGGGUGCAGAAGAAUGGAAUCAACAGCUCCCAGGAGACUCGAAAUGCCACCACAGCCCCCAACCCAGUGAGAAACCUGACCGUGGAGGCCCAGACCACCAGCUCCAUCACCCUGAGCUGGGAGGCCCCUGAGGGCCCAGACCCACAGAACUCCACCUACUGGGUUGAGGGCACCGGAGACAGUGGCAGAACGGAGACCCGAAGCACAACAGACACCAACGUCACCGUGGAUGGACUUGAACCCGGGUCCUUAUAUAAGUUUUCUGUGUGGGUAGAGAAAAAUGGAGUAAAUAGCUCUGAGGAGACUGUCACUACUGCCACGGGUAAGAGGCGGCCACUGCUUCAUGUUUUCUUCU
Molecule: long non-coding RNA, 814 nt
Organism: Sapajus apella (tufted capuchin)
Lineage: Eukaryota; Metazoa; Chordata; Mammalia; Primates; Cebidae
Exons: 2
Source: RefSeq, a predicted model, not a curated record